RNAcentral lists this ribosomal RNA (459 nucleotides) under uncultured bacterium. RNAcentral describes it as "bacterial SSU rRNA". It matches the Rfam family "Bacterial small subunit ribosomal RNA", at positions 29 to 534 of the family's 1533-position model. The record is from RNAcentral.
AACGAACGCUGGCGGCAUGCCUAACACAUGCAAGUCGAACGAAGCCUUCGGGCUUAGUGGCGCACGGGUGCGUAACGCGUGGGAAUCUGCCCCUCGGUUCGGAAUAACAGUUAGAAAUGACUGCUAAUACCGGAUGAUGACGAAAGUCCAAAGAUUUAUCGCCGAGGGAUGAGCCCGCGUAGGAUUAGCUUGUUGGUGGGGUAAUGGCCCACCAAGGCGACGAUCCUUAGCUGGUCUGAGAGGAUGAUCAGCCACACUGGGACUGAGACACGGCCCAGACUCCUACGGGAGGCAGCAGUGGGGAAUAUUGGACAAUGGGCGAAAGCCUGAUCCAGCAAUGCCGCGUGAGUGAUGAAGGCCUUAGGGUUGUAAAGCUCUUUUACCAGGGAUGAUAAUGACAGUACCUGGAGAAUAAGCUCCGGCUAACUCCGUGCCAGCAGCCGCGGUAAACGUAGCGUG